Molecule: transfer RNA, 69 nt
Organism: Cavia porcellus (domestic guinea pig)
Lineage: Eukaryota; Metazoa; Chordata; Mammalia; Rodentia; Caviidae
Rfam family: tRNA
About the family: Transfer RNA (tRNA) molecules are approximately 80 nucleotides in length. Their secondary structure includes four short double-helical elements and three loops (D, anti-codon, and T loops).
Source: Rfam
AAUAGAGUCAUAGGGGUUAUGGGGUUGGCUUGAAACCAACUUUAGGGGGUUCAAUUCCUUCCUCUCUUG